GACGAACGCUGGCGGCGUGCUUAACACAUGCAAGUCGAACGGAAAGGCCCUGCUUUUGUGGGGUGCUCGAGUGGCGAACGGGUGAGUAACACGUGAGUAACCUGCCCUUGACUAUGGGAUAACUUCAGGAAACUGGGGCUAAUACCGGAUAGGAGCUCCUGCUGCAUGGUGGGGGUUGGAAAGUUUCGGCGGUUGGGGAUGGACUCGCGGCUUAUCAGCUUGUUGGUGGGGUAGUGGCUUACCAAGGCUUUGACGGGUAGCCGGCCUGAGAGGGUGACCGGCCACAUUGGGACUGAGAUACGGCCCAGACUCCUACGGGAGGCAGCAGUGGGGAAUAUUGCACAAUGGGCGGAAGCCUGAUGCAGCAACGCCGCGUGCGGGAUGACGGCCUUCGGGUUGUAAACCGCUUUCGCCUGUGACGAAGCGUGAGUGACGGUAAUGGGUAAAGAAGCACCGGCUAACUACGU
RNAcentral lists this ribosomal RNA (467 nucleotides) under uncultured bacterium. Its description in RNAcentral is "partial 16S ribosomal RNA". It matches the Rfam family "Bacterial small subunit ribosomal RNA", at positions 28 to 506 of the family's 1533-position model. The record is from RNAcentral.